UGCGCCUGCAGUUGACCAACAUUGACGUGGGCGGUUUGCUGGCGCUUCUGGACCCCGCCAACUGGACCGUCGAGGGCGCCCUGGACGCUGUGAUGGGGUUCUUUCAGCAGUCCCAGAUCAUCGUGAAACCGACUGACUUUGCCGGUUCUGCGGCGCCACUCGCGCUUGUCGUCGGCAGCAUCAAGACGUCGAUCUUCGAUGUGGCCGCCCCAAUUCUGGAGGACGCCGAACUGCAGUGGGAUUUGCGGCGUUGGCUGACCGGAGAUCCUGAACCGUGGCCCGGCGCCGGAACAUGGUGGAUACGCAACGGAACCCUGUUCGUCGGCAUUGUCGACAAGUCCGGGUUCCGUAGCGGCACCAGUCUCGGCGGUAACCUGCUGACUGGUUUGACACGGACGAUCGCCGACGUGACGCCGGGAAACGUCGAAGACGCCUACGACCUGUUCACGGGUGCUUCGAUAGACGAACCCGGUUACCGCCUGCCCGGGUUCUUGAGAACAAUCGCACCGCACCCCUACGUGGUGUAUCGGGACGGCGACAUCACCGGCAUCCAAACCU
RNAcentral lists this unclassified non-coding RNA (558 nucleotides) under uncultured fungus. RNAcentral's name for it is "sequence contains 18S rRNA gene, ITS1, 5.8S rRNA gene, ITS2, 28S rRNA gene". The record is from RNAcentral. Lineage: Eukaryota; Fungi.